CCCUUAGACGUUCUGGGCCGCACGCGCGCUACACUGACCAGUGCAACAAGCAUCCGUCCUUGGCCGACAGGCUCGGGCAAUCUUUGAACGCUGGUCGUGAUGGGGAUAGACUUUUGCAAUUUUUGGUCUUCAACGAGGAAUUCCUAGUAAACGCAAGUCAUCAACUUGCAUUGAUUACGUCCCUGCCCUUUGUACACACCGCCCGUCGCACCUACCGAUUGAAUGGUCCGGUGAAGCCUCCGGAUUGGCGCGCACCUCGGUGCCGCCGAGAAGUUGGCUAAACCUUACCAUUUAGAGGAAGGUGAAGUCGUANCC
This 315-nucleotide ribosomal RNA is filed under the name uncultured eukaryote. RNAcentral describes it as "partial 18S ribosomal RNA". It matches the Rfam family "Eukaryotic small subunit ribosomal RNA", at positions 1470 to 1796 of the family's 1831-position model. The record is from RNAcentral.